UGGGGAAUAUUGCACAAUGGGGGAAACCCUGAUGCAGCGACGCCGCGUGAGUGAAGAAGUAUUUCGGUAUGUAAAGCUCUAUCAGCAGGGAAGAACAUGACGGUACCUGACUAAGAAGCCCCGGCUAACUACGUGCCAGCAGCCGCGGUAAUACGUAGGGGGCAAGCGUUAUCCGGAUUUACUGGGCGUAAAGGGAGCGUAGACGGCAGAGCAAGUCUGAAGUGAAAGCCCGGGGCUCAACCCCGGGACUGCUUUGGAAACUGCCCGGCUAGAGUGCAGGAGGGGCAAGCGGAAUUCCUAGUGUAGCGGUGAAAUGCGUAGAUAUUAGGAGGAACACCGGUGGCGAAGGCGGCUUGCUGGACUGUAACUGACGUUGAGGCUCGAAAGCGUGGGGAGC
Molecule: ribosomal RNA, 397 nt
Filed under: uncultured Clostridium sp.
Lineage: Bacteria; Bacillati; Bacillota; Clostridia; Eubacteriales; Clostridiaceae
Description: bacterial SSU rRNA
Rfam family: Bacterial small subunit ribosomal RNA
Source: RNAcentral